UCGCUUCAGCUGGCACUUGAGUUGUUUGAAAUCAAAAGGUCUAGUGUCCACGCGUUGUGUUUUGCUCACAUUUGGCUGCCUGGCCUGGAAUCCCCCUGCUGAUGCAGUGUGCGCAGCCAGCCCUUAGCCAGAGCAGUGCUUUAUUGGCCCUGGAGUGUGUCCCCUUGUUGUUGUAACACUUGCUCUUUGCGAGCGUGUGCUAGCCUUGAUGUUUAAUCUUUGUGAAGCAGUAGCUUGUGAGCAUCAGACGUAUUUCUCUCAUAAUGACUGAAGUUAGGCAAGAAGUCAAAACUUAAUAUGCCUGUGAGCUCUUGCCAGUGUUUUCUGGAUUCAUGCCUUAAGAGAGGAACACGAAGGACGGCUCGAGUGGCUCCAAUCCAAAUAAAGCAUUAUUCAGAGCUGCACUCCAGGAAUCGUUGUUUUCCACCACUCAGAGCUAUCAGUGGAGCUGGUUGUUCUCACAGUUAUUUCUAGCUGGGGUGAAGCUUCUGAAACAGUAAGCACUCCUGGGUUUAUGUGGUGGUCUGUUAUGACUAAUUCUCCAGAUUAUCAUCUACAGCAGGCAGUUUGUAAAUCAUCCAUCCAGGGAGCAAUUGAUAGCCAAGGCCUAAUGGAAUGGCGAUUCCACAUCUCCCUCUGAGCCCAAACGGAGACUUGGAAAUUACAGAGCUUCCUUCUCUUAAACUGCUGUUGCUCUGUGAUGCAGUACAUGGAGUGGUGAGCUUCUGAGGAGCAGGAGACAGGGGUGAACAGAGUGAGUACAGCAUCAACGGGUCAGUUAGUGGCAAUGGGAAAUAAUCAAGUGCUUGUGAGUGGGCUGUAUGGGUGUGAUGAUCCCUUUAUUGUUCUUUUGGAAUCAAGAAGGUGCAAGCAAAUGUUUGUUUAUGGCGCUUUUAUUUUUCUCCCUGGACUUCUUUCUCUGGAAAAUCAGACACUUCCCUGGAAGCAGGGAGACCUACAGGAAGUAUUUGCUGGCUAGAAACAGAGUGGUGAAGCUCUUCCCAAAAGAAUCCAGCUUGUUUCUUGGUGUCUUCCUGCAGACUAAGCCCUUCUUUUAAAGCCUGACUUUCUUCUCGGCACGAUUAUUUUUUGGCUGUUAGAUUCACAUUCUGUGAUUUGCAUGCCCAAAGGGGCCAACUUUCAGCAUCUUAAAAGCCUCUUCUGAAUUCUAGGCAAAGAUUAAUCUGCUGGGCUGGAGGAAAGCGAGUAGUUUUCUCUGGUUGAAUUUAGUGCUGGAAAAGAAAUCAGAGAAAAAAAAGCAGUUAUCAUUUAAAGCUUUUCUAAGCGCAGAGGACUGAAGGAAAUUAAUUUUACAAUAUUCUUACAAUAUUCUAUUUGCUGUUCCAGUUACAUUUUUGCAAGGUUCUUGGAGUAGUUUGAAAACCUAUGCCUAGGAAAUCUACACUAGAAAGCAGUUUUAAUGCAGUUCUUUCAUAACUAUUGUAGUGUCCCUCUGUGCCAUUUCCCUCCUCGUCGUUAGGACAGUUUGUAGCCCAGUAACUGAUGAAGGAAACAGAAGACUUGUCUCUGUAAACUGGCCUCUGGCUGUCAGGGCACGGGCAUCUUCACCACCCAAGCUGAGAAGGACAUGAAACCUGGGCAGGAUGUGAUCUGCCAGCUCUACAUCUCAAGGGGAAUGUUCCUAGGAAUGAAUGAAAGUCUAUGAAUGACUGAAAAAAAAUAUAAGAGGUGGAAGGGAGGACACUUGGAGCCUCUGGCUUGGAGAAAAGAAAGGGUAAUGUAUGCAUGCAUCUGACAAAUUAUUCCAUUAACAAGAACAGAGUUAAUUCUGCCAGAGAAAAAGACAUUGGAAGUAAGAGUGCUGCCUGACUUCUUGUUGAAUAAAUCAACUGAAGAAACUCAGAUGAGAAACAGAGCUGGACACCAGAAUUGGGAAGGAAACUCCACAGAGGGAAGUUUGUACUCCAGCUCAGCAGCAUGCAUUUCAGUUUUUGUCUUGAGAUAAAAUGUUUGCCUGCUCUUCCUAAGGACACUGAUUUGUCUAACAAGAUGUUAUCACUCUCCAAACUUUGCCUGUAAUCUUAGCUCAUCAUGCUGUAGCAACCCUACAUCCUCACUGUAUUUGUUAUCUUUGUCAGCUGUGAUAGGCAGAUUUACAGUAGUUUACUUAGACACAUAUUUC
Molecule: long non-coding RNA, 2143 nt
Organism: Pezoporus occidentalis (night parrot)
Lineage: Eukaryota; Metazoa; Chordata; Aves; Psittaciformes; Psittacidae
Exons: 4
Source: RefSeq, a predicted model, not a curated record